Molecule: long non-coding RNA, 895 nt
Filed under: Androctonus crassicauda
Lineage: Eukaryota; Metazoa; Arthropoda; Arachnida; Scorpiones; Buthidae
Source: RNAcentral
GGAACGAUUUCCUUAAUUCCCUCACUGUUGUUGAAAUAUUAAACUGUUUUAACAAAGAUUUCUAUUGUUAUCAAACUAUCAUAUAUAAAGUUCUUUUGUUGCCUAACAAGUUUUUAAAUUCUUGUAUCUUCUCCAAUAGAUUAAUGGCUAUAACUUUGGUUUACGUUACAGCUGGUACCGCCCCGAUCGUUCUUUUUUUUUUUUUCCAACUCAAAAUCCGAUGUCUUAAUUACAAAGCCGUUAUCUCUUCCGACUCUCAAUUGAUUACCCUUUUGUCGUCUAGAUAACAGUAAUGGCUGCCAAGUGAAGAGCUGAUUGUAACACGUUGUGUUUAACUUAUUUCUAAACGGUCGAUAACCGGGAUCGGUUAAGUUAUUCGAAAGGCUUUUGUGUGCUUCCGUUCCCGACUUAUCCUACCAUAAACUCUUAUCAUCUGCCCGUUUACGUCCGUGUAUCGGGACGGUGCUCGAAGAGGGAUGGAGAUAGGGCUGUAGGGUGGAAUGUCACAGGAGGUGGUUACUAUAGCAGCGGCUAACGAUCUUAUUAGUCGUCAUAACAACCGGCUAUAUAAACACUCGCUCUGUUAUAAUUACUGCCGUAUUUUCUAUUUACUAUAUAUAACUCUAUAUUACGUAAGUAUGCAACGUAAAUCUGUUCACCAGACCGUAUUUAUAAAGUUGACAUGUCAAUCUGCUGCGCGCGUAAAGGUAUACCCGACCGAUAUCCACUAACCGUGUCCAGGAAUAAUUUAAUAUGAACAAAAACAUUAUCAGUAAAACUUGUUAAAACUUUAAAAAAGAUAAUUAUCCUUGCUAGCCGUUUGUGUAAGUCGUGGCAACAGAAAUUUAUUUAUUUUUUUUAUCGUUAGAUAAUUACCUUACAGUUAAAACCUGGC